RNAcentral lists this ribosomal RNA (820 nucleotides) under uncultured bacterium. Its description in RNAcentral is "bacterial SSU rRNA". It matches the Rfam family "Bacterial small subunit ribosomal RNA", at positions 8 to 859 of the family's 1533-position model. The record is from RNAcentral.
AGAGUUUGAUCCUGGCUCAGGAUGAACGCUGGCGGCGUGCCUAACACAUGCAAGUCGAGCGAACCCUUCGGGGUGAGCGGCGGACGGGUGAGUAACGCGUGGGUAACCUGCCCUAUACACACGGAUAACGUACCGAAAGGUACGCUAAUACGAGAUAAUAUAUUUUUAUCGCAUGGUAGAAAUAUCAAAGCUCCGGCGGUAUAGGAUGGGCCCGCGUCUGAUUAGCUAGUUGGUAAGGUAAUGGCUUACCAAGGCGACGAUCAGUAGCCGACCUGAGAGGGUGAUCGGCCACAUUGGAACUGAGACACGGUCCAAACUCCUACGGGAGGCAGCAGUGGGGAAUAUUGCACAAUGGGCGAAAGCCUGAUGCAGCAACGCCGCGUGAGCGAUGAAGGCCUUCGGGUCGUAAAGCUCUGUCCUCAAGGAAGAUAAUGACGGUACUUGAGGAGGAAGCCCCGGCUAACUACGUGCCAGCAGCCGCGGUAAUACGUAGGGGGCUAGCGUUAUCCGGAAUUACUGGGCGUAAAGGGUGCGUAGGUGGUUUCUUAAGUCAGAGGUGAAAGGCUACGGCUCAACCGUAGUAAGCCUUUGAAACUGAGAAACUUGAGUGCAGGAGAGGAGAGUAGAAUUCCUAGUGUAGCGGUGAAAUGCGUAGAUAUUAGGAGGAAUACCAGUUGCGAAGGCGGCUCUCUGGACUGUAACUGACACUGAGGCACGAAAGCGUGGGGAGCAAACAGGAUUAGAUACCCUGGUAGUCCACGCCGUAAACGAUGAGUACUAGCUGUCGGAGGUCACCCCCUUCGGUGGCGCAGCUAACGCA